GACGAACGCUGGCGGCGUGCUUAACACAUGCAAGUCGAACGGAAAGGCCCUGCUUUUGUGGGGUGCUCGAGUGGCGAACGGGUGAGUAACACGUGAGUAACCUGCCCUUGACUUUGGGAUAACUUCAGGAAACUGGGGCUAAUACCGGAUAGGAGCUCCUGCUGCAUGGUGGGGGUUGGAAAGUUUCGGCGGUUGGGGAUGGACUCGCGGCUUAUCAGCUUGUUGGUGGGGUAGUGGCUUACCAAGGGUUUGACGGGUAGCCGGCCUGAGAGGGUGACCGGCCACAGUGGGACUGAGAUACGGCGCAGACGCCUACGGGAGGCAGCAGGGGGGAAUAUUGCACAAUGGGCGGAAGCCUGAUGCAGCAACGCCGCGUGCGGGAUGACGGCUUUCGGGUUGUAAACCGCUUUCGCCGGUGACGAAGCGUGAGUGACGGUAAUGGGUAAAGAAGCACCGGCUAACUACGUG
Molecule: ribosomal RNA, 468 nt
Filed under: uncultured bacterium
Lineage: Bacteria
Description: partial 16S ribosomal RNA
Rfam family: Bacterial small subunit ribosomal RNA
Source: RNAcentral